CAAGGUGAUUGACAGCUGUGUUCACCUAUUGGAGAGUAGGGCUCUCUAUUUAAAGGCUGAUUGGCUGAAGCCGUGUAUGUGUCACGUCUGAUUUCCCUCCCCUUGUGUCUGUUGACGGUCGUUACAGUGUGUGUUGGCUCCGAUGCUGGUGCCUGUUAGCACUGUUCCAUGGAUUUUAAAAGUGCUAGUCUCUCCGGUUGACUCCCUGUAUGCCAGGGCACUGGUGGCUGCCAUGACAGCUGUAUGCCAGUGUCCGUAAGGUGUCAUGCCUGGCGUAAGAAGCGGAUUCUCCCUCUCGUUCCGGGCUGUGAUUACCUCUUCGCGCUGUUUUUAGCGCUGCUAUUCAGCUUGCAGUGCGCACGUGUUGACAUCAUUAAAGGGUGCUGCUGGUGUCCGGUCAACCUUUGAAUAUCGCACCAUAUAGUGCUCAAAUCCAUAUGUGUUGGGGACAUGAACGUUUUUGGUUUAAAGAUUAAAUGAUGCUCUGAAUGAGCUCUGUGAUUCCCCUAUCCAACCUCUUUAAUUAUUUUGUUUCUUUUGUUUAUUUUUUUUGUAUUUAUACUUUGUUUGCUGCACGUGACUCCUCAUCGUUGUAACGUGCCCAGGUGUAUGUGUGGCCUAUUGAACCUAGUAACACACUGUGACAGAGGGGAGUGGUAUGUGAAAUUAACCCUCCUAAUGUUUUAUUGUCUCUGUUUGUGUAUUGUAUUAAUGGUCACUAUAGAGGAGUUGUGAGAAGUAGUUAAACCAUCUAUAAAAAGUGUUUAUAAUUUAUGUUCUGUUAAGCGUCUUUAACCUUUAUUUUUGGUUUAUCGCAGGAGCUGGGGUCCCACGGGUGACAGGAAUUUCUACGGUGGUGGUGCUUCUCAUCGUGUGCUGUGUAACAUCUUGUGUGUUUCGUAGUGUGAUUUGAGUGCACUUUGGUGUGUGUGGUUGUGUGGAAGUGUGCUCUGCUCAAACUGAAUUCUGUCCUCUGCCGUUGGGAGCCUCAGCCCUGCUGUGUUUGGAAACCAGGCACCAGAAAUCUCCCCUUAUGGUGGGUCUGCACGUCGAGGCGAGAGCUGGGGUCCCACGGGUGACAGGAAUUUCUACGGUGGUGGUGCUUCUCAUCGUGUGCUGUGUAACAUCUUGUGUGUUUCGUAGUGUGAUUUGAGUGCACUUUGGUGUGUGUGGUUGUGUGGAAGUGUGCUCUGCUCAAACUGAAUUCUGUCCUCUGCCGUUGGGAGCCUCAGCCCUGCUGGUAACAUUCUCUUUUCUUUAUUUGUUUUGAUUUAACCUUUUGUUAUAAUUAAAAUUGUGUCUUUUCCUUUUAAGGGGAAAGAAUGAGUACUUGGUGUGUCUUUUUAAUCUAGUGUUUUUAAAUAUUUGUAUCAAUAAAAUUAUGUAACAUUUUGCAUUAUA
Molecule: non-coding RNA, 1401 nt
Organism: Misgurnus anguillicaudatus (oriental weatherfish)
Lineage: Eukaryota; Metazoa; Chordata; Actinopteri; Cypriniformes; Cobitidae
Source: RefSeq, a predicted model, not a curated record